Molecule: unclassified non-coding RNA, 378 nt
Filed under: plant metagenome
Description: partial contains 5.8S ribosomal RNA, internal transcribed spacer 2, and large subunit ribosomal RNA
Rfam family: 5.8S ribosomal RNA (bases 1-105)
Source: RNAcentral
GGAAUGCGAUAAGUAGUGUGAAUUGCAGAAUUCAGUGAAUCAUCGAAUCUUUGAACGCACAUUGCGCCUAUUAGUAUUCUAGUAGGCAUGCCUGUUUGAGUAUCAUGAAAUCUUCAAAGUAAAUCUUUUGUUAACUCAAUUGGUUUCUACUUUGGUAUUGGAGGUCUUUGCAGCUUCACACCUGCUCCUCUUUGUUCAUUAGCUGGAUCUCAGUGUUAUGCUUGGUUCCACUCGGCGUGAUAAGUUAUCUAUCGCUGAGGACACUGUAAAAGAUGGCCAAGGUAAAUGCAGAUGAACCGCUUCUAAUAGUCCAUUGACUUGGACAAUACUUUUAUGAUCUGAUCUCAAAUCAGGUAGGACUACCCGCUGAACUUAAGC